CAUGCCCACAUAGACCCACGCAGCAUUGUCAGACUUCCCAGGGCUGUAAUAUUCACGUAUCAAUUCACAACCGCACUUACUAUAGAAGCCUAAGUUCAAACAGAAAUUUGCACCCACCCAUGCAUCGCCACAAAAGCCCAUACCAACUCCCGAGCAGACGUGCCCACGCUCACAGAAGCCCACAUAGGAGCGCUCACACCAACCCACACGAGAGUGAGCACACGGAUUCUCCUGCACACACACACCUUGUUCUUUCAAGCUCUCAGCUAGGGCAGCCGGAGGGCACCGCUCAGCCAGCCUGCACUCCCUGGCCCUUCCUCGCCUCCACAUGUGCACCACUCAGUCUCUCUGGCUGGCAGGAAGCCCCCAGCACACUCCCUGCCCCUCCCAGUAUCUGUGAGGUCAGGGGCCUUCCUAGGCUGCCAAUUUAGCCUCCAGCCAGGCACACUGGGGACAGGUGGGACCUCCUGGAGCUGCCUGGGGGGCCUGGUGAUGCCAGCCUACGGCAGUCAUACUGCCCACACUGCCAAGAGCCCACAUGGGCAAGGGCCAAAGACCUCCAGCCCACCAGCACCACCCCCUACUCCACCCCAACUUCAGGGCGUGCCUCCAUUUUUCCAGCUGUCAAGAAAGCCCUUACCAAGAGGCCCAGGCUCUGUGGGCUCCAGCUCUGCAUUUCCUGGUUCUGGUGUGGAGACAGAGCAUGAUGAGGAGCAACGAUGUGUCUGCCUGGUUCAUCGCUGAAUCCCCAGGGCCUAGCCCAGCACUUGGCACGUGGUAGGGACUCAACACAUCGCUGCUGAAUGAAUGAAUGUUGGCCCUGCUAGGA
Homo sapiens (human) is the source of this 829-nucleotide long non-coding RNA. RefSeq lists it as uncharacterized. The transcript is spliced from 2 exons. The record is from RefSeq and is a predicted model, not a curated record. Lineage: Eukaryota; Metazoa; Chordata; Mammalia; Primates; Hominidae.